AACGUACGCUGGCGGCACGCUUAACACAUGCAAGUCGAACGAAGUAGCAAUACUUAGUGGCAGACGGGUGAGUAACAUGUGGGUAUCUGCCCUUUGGCCUGGAAUAACACGAGGAAACUUGUGCUAAUACCGGAUAAGUCUUUACGGAGAAAGCUUUAUGCACCAUUGGAUGAGCCCGCACUUGAUUAGUUUGUUGGUGGGGUAAUGGCCUACCAAGACUGUGAUCAAUAGCUGAUUUGAGAGGAUGAUCAGCCACAUUGGGACUGAGACACGGCCCAAACUCCUACGGGAGGCAGCAGUGGGGAAUCUUGCACAAUGGAGGAAACUCUGAUGCAGCGAUGCCGCGUGAGUGAAGAAGGCCCUUGGGUUGUAAAGCUCUUUCGUCGGGGAAGAAAAUGACUGUACCCGAAUAAGAAGGUCCGGCUAACUUCGUGCCAGCAGCCGCGGUAAUACGAAGGGACCUAGCGUAGUUCGGAAUUACUGGGCUUAAAGAGUUCGUAGGUGGUUGAAAAAGUUAGUGGUGAAAUCCCAGAGCUUAACUCUGGAACUGCCAUUAAAACUUUUCAGCUAGAGUAUGAUAGAGGAAAGCAGAAUUUCUAGUGUAGAGGUGAAAUUCGUAGAUAUUAGAAAGAAUACCAAUUGCGAAGGCAGCUUUCUGGAUCAUUACUGACACUGAGGAACGAAAGCAUGGGUAGCGAAGAGGAUUAGAUACCCUCGUAGUCCAUGCCGUAAACGAUGUGUGUUAGACGUUGGAAAUUUAUUUUCAGUGUCGCAGCGAAAGCGAUAAACACACCGCCUGGGGAGUACGACCGCAAGGUUAAAACUCAAAUGAAUUGACGGGGACCCGCACAGGUAGUGGAGCAUGUGGUUUAAUUCGAAGAUACGCGCAGAACCUUACCAACACUUGACAUGUUCGUCGCGACUCUAAGAGAUUAGAGUUUUCGGUUCGGCCGGACGAAACACAGGUGCUGCAUGGCUGUCGUCAGCUCGUGUCGUGAGAUGUUGGGUUAAGUCCCGCAACGAGCGCAACCCUCACUUUUAGUUGCCAUCAUUAAGUUGGGCACUCUGAAAGAACUGCCAGUGAUAAGCUGGAGGAAGGUGGGGAUGACGUCAAGUCCUCAUGGCCCUUACGUGUUGGGCUACACACGUGCUACAAUGGUAUCUACAACAGGAAGCAAGACUGCGAGGUCAAGCAAAUCCUUAAAAGAUACCUCAGUUCGGAUUGCACUCUGCAACUCGAGUGCAUGAAGCUGGAAUUACUAGUAAUCGUGGAUCAGCGUGCCACGGUGAAUGCGUUCCCGGGUCU
Molecule: ribosomal RNA, 1306 nt
Filed under: uncultured bacterium
Lineage: Bacteria
Description: bacterial SSU rRNA
Rfam family: Bacterial small subunit ribosomal RNA
Source: RNAcentral